This 400-nucleotide ribosomal RNA is filed under the name uncultured eukaryote. Its description in RNAcentral is "SSU rRNA". It matches the Rfam family "Eukaryotic small subunit ribosomal RNA", at positions 43 to 433 of the family's 1831-position model. The record is from RNAcentral.
GUAUUAAGCCAUGACAAGUGUAAGUAUAAUUGUUUUACGGUGAAACUGCGAAUGGCUCAUUAAAUCAGUUAUAGUUUAUUUGAUGCUAUAGGCCGAAAGGUCACUACAUGGAUAUCUGUAGUAACAUAGAGCUAAUACAUGCAAUAUAGUCUGUACUUUUUGGAAGGACUAGCACUUAUUAGAUAUUAAACCAGUCCCAGCAAUGGGUUUUUUGGUGAUUCAUAGUAACUGAACAAAUCACAUGGUCUUGUACCGGUGAUGUUUCAUUCAAAUUUCUGCCCUAUCAACUAGAUGGUAGUAUAUAGGACUACCAUGGUUGUAACGGGUAACGGAGGAUUAGGGUUUGAUUCCGGAGAAGGAGCAUGAGAAACGGCUACUAUUUCUAAGGAAAGCAGCAGGC